UGGGGAAUUUUGGACAAUGGGCGAAAGCCUGAUCCAGCAAUGCCGCGUGUGUGAAGAAGGCCUUCGGGUUGUAAAGCACUUUUGUCCGGAAAGAAAUCCUUGGCUCUAAUACAGUCGGGGGAUGACGGUACCGGAAGAAUAAGCACCGGCUAACUACGUGCCAGCAGCCGCGGUAAUACGUAGGGUGCAAGCGUUAAUCGGAAUUACUGGGCGUAAAGCGUGCGCAGGCGGUUUGCUAAGACCGAUGUGAAAUCCCCGGGCUCAACCUGGGAACUGCAUUGGUGACUGGCAGGCUAGAGUAUGGCAGAGGGGGGUUAGAAUUCCACGUGUAGCAGUGAAAUGCGUAGAGAUGUGGAGGAAUACCGAUGGCGAAGGCAGCCCCCUGGGCCAAUACUGACGCUCAUGCACGAAAGCGUGGGGAGCAAACAGGAUUAGAUACCCUGGUAGUCCACGCCCUAAACGAUGUCAACUAGUUGUUGGGGAUUCAUUUCCUUAGUAACGUAGCUAACGCGUGAAGUUGACCGCCUGGGGAGUACGGUCGCAAGAUUAAAACUUAAAUGAAUUGACGGGGUC
RNAcentral lists this ribosomal RNA (573 nucleotides) under uncultured bacterium. Its description in RNAcentral is "partial 16S ribosomal RNA". It matches the Rfam family "Bacterial small subunit ribosomal RNA", at positions 355 to 920 of the family's 1533-position model. The record is from RNAcentral.